ACUUCCUAAGCCGGAACGAAAAGUCUCACUGUAGCAAUACAUUGAAACUUUUGGCUUUGUGGUUGUGAUGUUGUGUUUGCAAGUUGUCUGGGAAUACCAGACUUUGUAGCUUAGGCUACUGUUUUUUUUCACUUCCUGUACAUUUACCCUGUCUGUCCAUAGUGAUUUUUUUAAUGCACCGCAAUUGCGGUGCUUUUUUUC
RNAcentral lists this non-coding RNA (201 nucleotides) under Xenorhabdus mauleonii. RNAcentral describes it as "GcvB RNA". It matches the Rfam family "GcvB RNA". From Rfam's summary of the family: The gcvB gene encodes a small untranslated RNA involved in expression of the dipeptide and oligopeptide transport systems in Escherichia coli. Included several unknown homologues in alignment (Bateman A pers obs). The record is from RNAcentral. Lineage: Bacteria; Pseudomonadati; Pseudomonadota; Gammaproteobacteria; Enterobacterales; Morganellaceae.